RNAcentral lists this ribosomal RNA (261 nucleotides) under uncultured bacterium. RNAcentral describes it as "partial 16S ribosomal RNA". It matches the Rfam family "Bacterial small subunit ribosomal RNA", at positions 793 to 1055 of the family's 1533-position model. The record is from RNAcentral.
GUCCACGCCGUAACGAUGGGUGCUAGGUGUGGGAGGUGUCGACUCCUUCCGUGCCGCAGCUAACGCAUUAAGCACCCCGCCUGGGGAGUACGGCCGCAAGGCUAAACUCAAAGGAAUUGACGGGGCCCCGCACAAGCAGCGGAGCAUGUGGUUUAAUUCGAUGCAACGCGAAGAACCUUACCAGGGCUUGACAUGGUCGGGAAAGCCGUAGAAAUACGGCCCUCCUUCGGGACUCGAUCACAGGUGGUGCAUGGCUGUCGU